Molecule: ribosomal RNA, 290 nt
Filed under: Acinetobacter schindleri
Lineage: Bacteria; Pseudomonadati; Pseudomonadota; Gammaproteobacteria; Moraxellales; Moraxellaceae
Description: partial 16S ribosomal RNA
Rfam family: Bacterial small subunit ribosomal RNA
Source: RNAcentral
AACUGGAGGAAGGCGGGGAUGACGUCAAGUCAUCAUGGCCCUUACGGCCAGGGCUACACACGUGCUACAAUGGUCGGUACAAAGGGUUGCUACCUCGCGAGAGGAUGCUAAUCUCAAAAAGCCGAUUGUAGUCCGGAUCGCAGUCUGCAACUCGACUGCGUGAAGUCGGAAUCGCUAGUAAUCGCGGAUCAGAAUGCCGCGGUGAAUACGUUCCCGGGCCUUGUACACACCGCCCGUCACACCAUGGGAGUUUGUUGCACCAGAAGUAGGUAGUCUAACCGCAAGGAGGA